GUGGCAAUGGCUGCUCUGGAGGAGGCUUCAAAGAAGAUUUUCCUAGCAGUAAAGCAUGAUGGGAGGAUAUCUAUAGUAAAUGGACAUUGUCGAGAAAACUUGACUAGAAAUGGGGUCCAUGCAAAUUACAACAGUGAGGAUGAACAAAGAAGUCUCGCAUGUCCACUUUCUGAGGAUGACAUGGAUACAAAGAUCCAAGAGCUUUCUUAUCAACUGGAUUGUGCCACUCAGAAAUGUGAAGUUUAUCGUGCAAAUCUUUACUCAGUUUUGAAGGAUAUAGAUGACCAUAAGCAACAACUAUCAAUUAAUGUCCAAAGGAUUAAGCAUAGCUUGAAGGAUGACCUCUGAAUUUCUCCUGUUGUGGUAUAUGUUCU
Molecule: unclassified non-coding RNA, 374 nt
Filed under: Hevea brasiliensis (rubber tree)
Lineage: Eukaryota; Viridiplantae; Streptophyta; Magnoliopsida; Malpighiales; Euphorbiaceae
Source: RNAcentral